Pteronotus mesoamericanus is the source of this 106-nucleotide small nuclear RNA. NCBI's taxonomy places the organism in Eukaryota, Metazoa, Chordata, Mammalia, Chiroptera, Mormoopidae. The record is from RefSeq and is a predicted model, not a curated record.
AUGCUCGCUUUGACAGCACAUAUACUAAAAUUGGAAUGAUACAGGAAGAUUAGCGUGGCUCCUGUGCAAGGAUGAUAUGCAAAUUUGUGAAGUGUUCCAUAUUUAA